RNAcentral lists this ribosomal RNA (254 nucleotides) under uncultured bacterium. RNAcentral's name for it is "partial 16S ribosomal RNA". It matches the Rfam family "Bacterial small subunit ribosomal RNA", at positions 524 to 776 of the family's 1533-position model. The record is from RNAcentral.
UACAGAGGGGGCAAGCGUUGUUCGGAAUUACUGGGCGUAAAGGGCGCGUAGGCGGCCUGCUAAGUCGGACGUGAAAUCCCUCGGCUCAACCGGGGAACUGCGUCCGAUACUGGCGAGGCUUGAAUCCGGGAGAGGGAUGUGGAAUUCCAGGUGUAGCGGUGAAAUUCGUAGAUAUUGGGAAGAACACCGGUGGCGAAGGCGGCGCUCUGGACCGAGACUGACGCUGAGGCGCGAAAGCGUGGGGAGCAAACAGG